RNAcentral lists this transfer RNA (72 nucleotides) under Bos taurus (domestic cattle). It matches the Rfam family "tRNA". Rfam says of the family: Transfer RNA (tRNA) molecules are approximately 80 nucleotides in length. Their secondary structure includes four short double-helical elements and three loops (D, anti-codon, and T loops). Further hydrogen bonds mediate the characteristic L-shaped molecular structure. tRNAs have two regions of fundamental functional importance: the anti-codon, which is responsible for specific mRNA codon recognition, and the 3' end, to which the tRNAs corresponding amino acid is attached (by aminoacyl-tRNA synthetases). tRNAs cope with the degeneracy of the genetic code in two manners: having more than one tRNA (with a specific anti-codon) for a particular amino acid; and 'wobble' base-pairing, i.e. permitting non-standard base-pairing at the 3rd anti-codon position. The record is from Rfam by way of RNAcentral. RNAcentral also lists the same sequence under 2 other names. Lineage: Eukaryota; Metazoa; Chordata; Mammalia; Artiodactyla; Bovidae.
UUUUUCAUGGCUCAGUUGGUAAAGAAUUUGCCUGCAAUGCAGGAGACCCCAGUUCAAUCCUGGGCUGGAAAG